Lolium rigidum is the source of this 1128-nucleotide long non-coding RNA. RefSeq lists it as uncharacterized. The transcript has 5 exons. NCBI's taxonomy places the organism in Eukaryota, Viridiplantae, Streptophyta, Magnoliopsida, Poales, Poaceae. The record is from RefSeq and is a predicted model, not a curated record.
GCUCUCAGCUUAUUAGUUUUAAUCUUCAUUUUCUUGUUAAUCUCAUUCAUUAUGUGUGAUUUGCUUGUUACCUUAGUCUUCAGUUUCAAGUUACACAACUUCAUAUAUGUGCUCUAGGUUUGCACGUUCUUAGAAGCUGUAUUUGCUUGUUGGGUUUCUAGGAGCAAGAGGAUGAUACUUUUACUGAGUAAGAGGUAUGUGUCUCAUGGGGCGUCUCUCACGGCAUGGCAAGCCACGUGGACAAGAAUUGGAUUUGCUGUCCUUUUGCCAAUUCAGUUUCGAGGUUGAAGAGCUUAAUUUGCCAAUCAUUUCUUCAGUAUUAUCUGUGCCUACCUGCACAGUUUCUCACUAUGGGGUCUUUAUGCCAGUUUUUCCUAAAACCAUUGAGAAUUUUGCAGAUCAACACAUUGUGUUGGAGUGGUACAUGAUUUCAUCAAGAAAGAGAGAGGUACUGAAAAGUAGUAGGAUGAGACGGGGUCACAUGCCUGUGCUGAGAUGGAAGGAGGAACAAUAGGAUAAUACUUUUACGGACCAUGUAUCUGCUACACCAUCGGCUCCGCCUAUGACGCCUUGUGUGCACUCUUUUAUGCAAGACAUUGACGACCUUGAACACAAGCACACAUGGUGGUUUCUCACCGCUGCACCGCCACUCAGUUGAAUGUUUUUUCCACCACAGAAAUCGUAUAAGCUGGACAUGCAUUUCCUAACUUGGUAUAGUUUUUUGGUUACUAAGAUGUGAUAAGUCAAGCCAGAGAUCUCAGGAAAUGCUUCUCCCCUAGUAUUUUGGUCACUUUCUCUGUGUUGAUUUCGUUUCUCACUCUUCUUCAUUUUCACUCUUUUCUGAUCAUAGGAAACAAGCCAGCACAGUCUGAUCCUGCGGGUAUUAGGAUGUAAGAAGGCAAGCAGGGAAAGUCUGAUGCAAGAUAACUUUUUGGGGGAGUUGUACAUGAUUUUGGAUCUAGAAUGAAGAAACAUGGUUCUGGCAUAUUAGUUGUCUGACAUCAGCCACGGUAAUUAAUUUAGCAUUCGGGGAUUUCAAAGAUCUUGAGCUAACAAUGGUCGUGAGGUGCGGAUCUCAUAUUUUAUAGUCCGCUAAGCAAGCCACAUGUGGAGCAGCGGCUGUAGCGG